Molecule: ribosomal RNA, 433 nt
Filed under: uncultured bacterium
Lineage: Bacteria
Description: partial 16S ribosomal RNA
Rfam family: Bacterial small subunit ribosomal RNA
Source: RNAcentral
AACGAACGCUGGCGGCAGGCCUAACACAUGCCAGUCGAGCGAGCACUUCGGUCCUAGCGGCGGACGGGAGAGUAACGCGUGGGAACGUGCCCUUUGCUUCGGAAUAGCCCUGGGACACUUGGAGUAAUACCGGAUGAGCCCUUUGGGGGCAAGAUUUAUCGGCGCAGGAUCGUCCCGCGUUGGUUUAGGUAGUUGGUUGGGUAAUGGCCUACCAAGCAGUCGAUCCAUAGCUGGGUUGAGAGGAUGCUCAACCACCCUGGGACUGAGACACGACCCAGACACCUACGCGAGGGAGCAGGGGGGAAUAGUAGACAACGGGGGAAACCCUAAUCAAGCCAUGCGGGGAGAACGAUGAGGGGCUUAGGGUUGUAAAGCUCUUUUAGCUGGGAAGAUAAUGACGGUACCAGCAGAAGAAGCCCCGGCUAACUCCGUG